This 512-nucleotide ribosomal RNA is filed under the name uncultured bacterium. Its description in RNAcentral is "bacterial SSU rRNA". It matches the Rfam family "Bacterial small subunit ribosomal RNA", at positions 34 to 518 of the family's 1533-position model. The record is from RNAcentral.
CGCUGGCGGCGUGCCUAAUACAUGCAAGUCGAACGGUCUUUCUAUGGAAGCUUGCUUCCACUGAGAAGAUAGUGGUGAACGGGUGAGUAACACGUGGGUAACCUGCCCAUAAGAGGGGGAUAACAUCCGGAAACGGGUGCUAAUACCGCAUAGUUUUCUUGAUCGCAUGAUCGGGAAAGGAAAGACGGCCUUUGUGCUGCCGCUUAUGGAUGGACCCGCGGCGUAUUAGUUAGUUGGUGAGGUAACGGCUCACCAAGACGAUGAUACGUAGCCGACCUGAGAGGGUGAUCGGCCACAUUGGGACUGAGACACGGCCCAAACUCCUACGGGAGGCAGCAGUAGGGAAUCUUCCGCAAUGGACGAAAGUCUGACGGAGCAACGCCGCGUGAGUGAAGAAAAGGUUUUCGGAUCGUAAAACUCUGUUGUCAGAGAAGAACAAGUUGGAGAGUAACUGCUCCAGCCUUGACGGUAUCUGACCAGAAAGCCACGGCUAACUACGUGCCAGCCGCAGC